This 490-nucleotide ribosomal RNA is filed under the name uncultured bacterium. RNAcentral describes it as "partial 16S ribosomal RNA". It matches the Rfam family "Bacterial small subunit ribosomal RNA", at positions 29 to 507 of the family's 1533-position model. The record is from RNAcentral.
AGUGAACGCUGGCGGUAGGCCUAACACAUGCAAGUCGAACGGCAGCACAGGAGAGCCUGCUCUCUAGGUGGCGAGUGGCGGACGGGUGAGGAAUACAUCGGAAUCUGCCCAGUCGUGGGGGAUAACGUAGGGAAACUUACGCUAAUACCGCAUACGACCUUCGGGUGAAAGAGGGGGAUCGCAAGACCUCUCGCGAUUGGAUGAGCCGAUGUCGGAUUAGCUAGUUAGCGGGGUAAUGGCCCACCAAGGCGACGAUCCGUAGCUGGUCUGAGAGGAUGAUCAGCCACACUGGAACUGAGACACGGUCCAGACUCCUACGGGAGGCAGCAGUGGGGAAUAUUGGACAAUGGGCGCAAGCCUGAUCCAGCCAUACCGCGUGGGUGAAGAAGGCCUUCGGGUUGUAAAGCCCUUUUGUUGGGAAAGAAAUCUUUCAGGCUAAUACCCUGGGAGGAUGACGGUACCCAAAGAAUAAGCACCGGCUAACUUCGUG